UACGGGGGGAGCAAGCGUUGUUCGGAUUUACUGGGCGUAAAGGGCGCGCAGGCGGCCACCGCAAGUCGGUUGUGAAAUCUCUGGGCUUAACCCAGAAAGGUCAACCGAUACUGCGGGGCUAGAGUGCAGAAGGGGCAACUGGAAUUCUCGGUGUAGCGGUGAAAUGCGUAGAUAUCGAGAGGAACACCUGCGGCGAAGGCGGGUUGCUGGGCUGACACUGACGCUGAAGCGCGAAAGCUAGGGGAGCGAACGGG
This 254-nucleotide ribosomal RNA is filed under the name uncultured bacterium. RNAcentral's name for it is "partial 16S ribosomal RNA". It matches the Rfam family "Bacterial small subunit ribosomal RNA", at positions 524 to 776 of the family's 1533-position model. The record is from RNAcentral.